This 252-nucleotide ribosomal RNA is filed under the name uncultured bacterium. RNAcentral's name for it is "partial 16S ribosomal RNA". It matches the Rfam family "Bacterial small subunit ribosomal RNA", at positions 524 to 776 of the family's 1533-position model. The record is from RNAcentral.
UACGAGGGGGCUAGCGUUGCUUCGGAAUACUGGGCGUAAAGGGUGCGUAGGCGGGUCUUUAAGUCAGGGGUGAAAUCCUGGAGCUCAACUCCAGAACUGCCUUUGAUACUGAGGAUCUUGAGUUCGGGAGAGGUGAGUGGAACUGCGAGUGUAGAGGUGAAAUUCGUAGAUAUUCGCAAGAACACCAGUGGCGAAGGCGGCUCACUGGCCCGAUACUGACGCUGAGGCACGAAAGCGUGGGGAGCAACAGGG